UGACUUUAGAUUACACGGUUUGCACGGUUCGCACCUCAAGUUCGCGUGACAUUAUGAGUUAGCAUGUAAGGCACUCGUACCCUUCUAUAAGAUUGCACAAUGUGAAUUCGCACACCAUCACAUAUCCACUUUAUGCAUAAUAGCCCACUUUGCCACAAUCUUGGCAUACACCUGGCAUCGUCCCUCUUGGCGCAAACCCAUA
RNAcentral lists this long non-coding RNA (202 nucleotides) under Gossypium raimondii (Peruvian cotton). Its description in RNAcentral is "long non-coding RNA (GRAI_LNC002158)". Lineage: Eukaryota; Viridiplantae; Streptophyta; Magnoliopsida; Malvales; Malvaceae. The record is from RNAcentral.